This 194-nucleotide unclassified non-coding RNA is filed under the name uncultured Atheliaceae. Its description in RNAcentral is "sequence contains ITS2". Lineage: Eukaryota; Fungi; Basidiomycota; Agaricomycetes; Atheliales; Atheliaceae. The record is from RNAcentral.
AAUUCUCAACUCUGAUUUGAUUUGUUUCUAAUCAGAGCUUGGACUUGGAGUGUGCUGGCGUCUAGUCGGCUCCUCUCAAAUGCAUCAGCGGAAUCUAACCUUUGGUUUCCAGAUGUCGGUGUGAUAAUAAAGUUGAGCUGUCGUUUGACUUCAAAGUCCGCUUACAAUGGUCUUCGGACGAACUCUUUUAUCAA